GAUGAAGAACGUAGCGAAAUGCGAUAAGUAAUGUGAAUUGCAGAAUUCAGUGAAUCAUCGAAUCUUUGAACGCACAUUGCGCCCCUUGGUAUUCCGGGGGGCAUGCCUGUUCGAGCGUCAUUUCAACCCUCAAGCUCUGCUUGGUAUUGGGCACCGUCCUUUGCGGGCGCGCCUCAAAGACCUCGGCGGUGGCGUCUUGCCUCAAGCGUAGUAGAAUACACCUCGCUUCGGAGCGUAAGGCGUCGCCCGCCGGACGAACCUUCUGAACUUUUCUCAAGGUUGACCUCGGAUCAGGUAGGGAUACCCGCUGAACUUGAGCAUAUCAAUAAGCGGAGGA
This 337-nucleotide unclassified non-coding RNA is filed under the name soil metagenome. RNAcentral describes it as "partial contains 5.8S ribosomal RNA, internal transcribed spacer 2, and large subunit ribosomal RNA". The stretch from base 1 to 120 matches the Rfam family "5.8S ribosomal RNA", at positions 35 to 154 of the family's 154-position model. The record is from RNAcentral.